Molecule: ribosomal RNA, 244 nt
Organism: Lupinus angustifolius (narrow-leaved blue lupine)
Lineage: Eukaryota; Viridiplantae; Streptophyta; Magnoliopsida; Fabales; Fabaceae
Rfam family: Bacterial small subunit ribosomal RNA
Source: Rfam
UGGGUUUAGUUCUGGUGGAGCGGUGAAAUGUUAGAGAUUACAAGGAACACCAACAAUGAAAAUACUCUAGGGGUGCGAAUGAGAUUAGAUACCUCAUUAGUCCUAUAUGUAAAUGAUGGAAACUAAGCAUUAUGUAUAUCUACCAAUGCAAUUUUAUAGUUAACGCAUUAAAUAUCCUGCUUGGAGAGUACAUUCGCAAGAAUGAAACUCAAAGGAAUUGAACAAAUUUUCAAUGAUUUUCAUA